Long non-coding RNA from Budorcas taxicolor (takin), 877 nucleotides. RefSeq lists it as uncharacterized. The record is from RefSeq and is a predicted model, not a curated record. The transcript has 4 exons. Lineage: Eukaryota; Metazoa; Chordata; Mammalia; Artiodactyla; Bovidae.
AGGCGGGAGGGGCCCGCCGAGGGGCUCGCGGAUCCCUCCCCGGCGUCCUUGUCGCAGACGAGGGCCCAUCACCGGCUUGCACACUCCCGCGGACGGGGAGCUCACCACCUCUCAGGGGACAGCUCCUCCCUACGACUCCCCGUGGUACCCUGGAUCCCUGCUCGCGAGACACAGUCACGGUGACCAGAGAGUCUCAGGCAUUCCAGAAAACAGGAGCUGCUAUUGUCGGUCAAGCCAACCAGCGCACUUUCCAUGCGGCCCACCCCAAAGCCAGACAGGAUAUGAAGAGUAGUACCCUGUCGCACCAGGCCUUCUGCCUGCCUCAUCCAACCCUCACGACAUCACGGCCGGUUUCCUCAUCCUACACCCAACGCAACUGAGGCCACAGAGGCAGAGGGGCUUGCUGCAAGUCACACAGCCAGUCAAUCAGGGAUGGAAUCAGGACUGACCCCAGACUGGGCAACAAUUCUUAAAUGAAGCUGCCCAGUUUCUCCGCAGAAAUUCUCUAAACAGCCAGGAGGCCAUUGGUUCUUGGAAAAGGGAGUCGUGUGUGCAAGACAACCCUGCGUUCAAAUCCCCGCGAAGUUGCUUCCUGACUGUGACGCCUUGGGAUAAUGACACAACCUCUCUGAGCUAUGUUCGCCUCACCCUUGUUAACGACUUGCGCAUUUAUUAAAAGAACUUUAUGACUACCUCCUCAAGCACAGAACUAUACUUGCAAACCCAACAGCAAGUAUGGGACAGGAUGACCAAGGCUAACACAAUUCACAGCUGGAAAUUUCACAGCAGCAGUUCCAGCCAGGAGUUUCCUGAUACCCAGUUGCUUAAAUACAGGCUGCAGACGAAGCAGUGGAAGCCACAGUUCAGACACUGGGGU